UCUUUCUAGAAACACUUUCCAGUACCUCUACUUUGUUACGACUUAUUUCAAUUUAUCUAUGAAAGCGACGGGCAAUAUGUACAUAUUUUAAUUUUUAAUCAUUUUAAUAAAUUAAAUAAAAUUACAUUUAAAUCCACCUUUAUUUAAAUAUUACAAAAUAAAAUCCAUUUAAAUAAAUUUAUUGUAAUCCAUUAUAUUCUUAAUUAUAAUCUGCAUCUUGAUUUGAUUUAAUUUUUAAUUAUUAAUUUUAAAAUAUUAUUAAUUAUUAAAAAAUAUUUUUUUAACAACGAUAUACAAAAUAAUAAAUUAAGUAAAUUUAUUCGUGGAUUAUCAAUUAAUAAACAGAUUCCUCUAAAUAAACUAAAAUACCGCCAAAACAUUUAAGUUUCAAUAAAUAAUUAUAUACUAUUUUAG
Molecule: ribosomal RNA, 414 nt
Filed under: Apocheima cinerarius
Lineage: Eukaryota; Metazoa; Arthropoda; Insecta; Lepidoptera; Geometridae
Description: 12S ribosomal RNA
Source: RNAcentral